This 394-nucleotide long non-coding RNA is filed under the name Medicago truncatula (barrel medic). Its description in RNAcentral is "lncRNA gene21284". The record is from RNAcentral. Lineage: Eukaryota; Viridiplantae; Streptophyta; Magnoliopsida; Fabales; Fabaceae.
GCUUUUGAAACCAUGUUUGUUCAUAUUCUUUUAUUUUCUUGUUUCUAUUAUGUGUUUUGGUUUCUUUGAAUCCAUAAUUGAAUCCAAUAGUGAAGAAAGGUGAACCACGCGACGAAGAAUCAGCCGCGACUUUGUUGUCUUCCAAUCUCGGUGGUCUUGCGAUCUACACUCUUGGGUGUCUUAAGUGUGAGUGUGUUUGGAGCCUCAACCUUGUAAAAAAGAUGACACCAUAUGAGGAGGAGCGGGAAAAAAGAUGAGUUUGGCCUAGCUGGGUUUAUGAAUUAUGUGUUUGAUUGUUGUUGUCUUGUAUUUGACUUUUAGUCAUGUUAUUUUAUGAUAUAUUGUGCUAGAACAUUGAGCACAUAUAUUAAUCUAGUUUGUAUAAUUGUGUCAG